GGGGAUAUAGCUCAGUGGGGAAAGUGCUUGCCUGGCAUGCAAGAGGCUCUGGGUUCGAUCCUUGGCACCA
Molecule: transfer RNA, 70 nt
Filed under: Neotoma lepida (desert woodrat)
Lineage: Eukaryota; Metazoa; Chordata; Mammalia; Rodentia; Cricetidae
Rfam family: tRNA
About the family: Transfer RNA (tRNA) molecules are approximately 80 nucleotides in length. Their secondary structure includes four short double-helical elements and three loops (D, anti-codon, and T loops). Further hydrogen bonds mediate the characteristic L-shaped molecular structure. tRNAs have two regions of fundamental functional importance: the anti-codon, which is responsible for specific mRNA codon recognition, and the 3' end, to which the tRNAs corresponding amino acid is attached (by aminoacyl-tRNA synthetases). tRNAs cope with the degeneracy of the genetic code in two manners: having more than one tRNA (with a specific anti-codon) for a particular amino acid; and 'wobble' base-pairing, i.e. permitting non-standard base-pairing at the 3rd anti-codon position.
Source: Rfam by way of RNAcentral